GGCUACAUCACAUUGAAACACCAGUUCCUCUAUGAUCACUGAAGUUAAGCAAUGUCGAGCCCAGUGAGUACCAAGAUGGGUGACCACUUGAGAAUACCAGGUGU
Acanthosepion pharaonis is the source of this 104-nucleotide non-coding RNA. The record is from the annotation of a GenBank genome assembly. NCBI's taxonomy places the organism in Eukaryota, Metazoa, Mollusca, Cephalopoda, Sepiida, Sepiidae.